RNAcentral lists this ribosomal RNA (499 nucleotides) under uncultured bacterium. RNAcentral's name for it is "partial 16S ribosomal RNA". It matches the Rfam family "Bacterial small subunit ribosomal RNA", at positions 30 to 522 of the family's 1533-position model. The record is from RNAcentral.
AUUGAACGCUGGCGGAAUGCUUUACACAUGCAAGUCGAACGGCAGCAGGGACUUCGGUCUGGUGGCGAGUGGCGAACGGGUGAGUAAUGUAUCGGAACGUGCCCAGUCGUGGGGGAUAACGUAGUGAAAAUUACGCUAAUACCGCAUACGAUCUAUGGAUGAAAGCGGGGGAUCGCAAGACCUCGCGCGAUUGGAGCGGCCGAUAUCAGAUUAGGUAGUUGGUGGGGUAAAGGCCCACCAAGCCAACGAUCUGUAGCUGGUCUGAGAGGACGACCAGCCACACUGGAACUGAGACACGGUCCAGACUCCUACGGGAGGCAGCAGUGGGGAAUUUUGGACAAUGGGCGAAAGCCUGAUCCAGCCAUUCCGCGUGCAGGAUGAAGGCCCUCGGGUUGUAAACUGCUUUUGUACAGAACGAAAAGGUUUCUACUAAUACUAGGAGCUCAUGACGGUACUGUAAGAAUAAGCACCGGCUAACUACGUGCCAGCCGCCGCAGAA